ACAACAAGCUUUUCUCUCUCAAUCACUCAAAGACUUAUAUCCGAUUCUACUAGGGAGAGUCUGAAGCUCAUUCAUAAUCAGAAAUUCUCUUUCACAAAAAUAUGGCUUUUAGCUACUCAUUUGAGAUCCGGCAGUUGAAUUUCAUGGCUGCACUACAGAUCCUACGCAAUGCAAUUGGAAAAACUCCUAAAGAUAAGGUAAUUUACUGGUUGAGUUUAAGUAUGUACUAUAUCAUAUUUUUCUGGAAUGGAAGAUUGCACCACCAAAAUUAGUUUUGAGGGAGUUCUAGAGUGUCUAGAUUAGAUUAUGAGAAUGUAUUAUCAUAGUGAUGAAAUAACAAUUCCUUCAAACCUUUGGGGCACAAGCAACAAAAACUAUUGGAGGCAUGUUGUGUCAGAAAUUUUGGAAAAUUGUCCUUUUCCCUUUUUAUCAACGUAAAUCUAAAAUUUACUCUGUAUUGGUUGUCAAUUAUGAUCUGCAUCAUGGUUGUUGUUGUUUACUCUGUAUGGGUGUAUUAAUCUAGUUAAUAUGUAUACUUUGCAUUUUAUGGCCAGCCAAAGGUUAUUCCAUCUACAAAAAAGACCCCCCUUUGAAUGUCACACCUUCUCUACUAGAGAAUGAGUACAAGAAGUUUAAUACAAUGUUUGAAUUUUCUGCCUCUUGAUGUCAAUUGUAUUACGAAUCACGCUUCAGAAUUUUCUGCGUCUUGGUUCAAGCUUGCCAAACAGUGUAAGAUAAGUUUUGGUGGUGUUCCACUUGAAUGGAAUACAUAAUAGUCCUAAUAUCAGUUAUGUUUUCAGUUGUGGUAUUAGGCAAGAUAGUGGUGUCCUUCGCCAUUACCGAGGCAGCUUAUACGCCUAUGUUGCACUCUCGCAUUUUUACCGAGACUGAAAGGUACCGUGACCAGGAAUUUACCACUUGCAAGGAGGAUCGGCCAUUGUUUGUCCAAUUUUGUGCAAAUGAUCCAGACAUUUUGUUAGAGGCUGCAAAGAGAGUGGAACCUUUUUGUGACUAUGUUGACAUCAAUUUGGGGCUCUCGCUUGAUGAAUGGUUCAUGAACUUACUCUUCUGUCUCUCAAGAUUCUGCUUUUUCGGGUGGUUGUUCCUAGGCCGGGUUUAAGCCCCGAUAGCGAGUUUGAUUAAACUAGUGGCCCUGUAAAGUUUGUUCUUACAUAUGAAAUAAUGGCUCAAGUUAUAUUUAAUGGAUCAUUUGAUCACAUGAAUAUUGAUGCUACCAGGUAUCA
This is an RNA transcript of Quercus robur (English oak), 1244 nucleotides long. It is a transcript of the gene named tRNA-dihydrouridine(16/17) synthase [NAD(P)(+)]-like, with no coding region annotated. The record is from RefSeq and is a predicted model, not a curated record. NCBI's taxonomy places the organism in Eukaryota, Viridiplantae, Streptophyta, Magnoliopsida, Fagales, Fagaceae. The transcript is spliced from 5 exons.